GUGUCAGAUGUAGGUCUAUGGGACAGUGGAGAAUGCACAAGACUGACAGGAUCUCAUAUUCCUUGUCCUCACGUGUCCACUCCGAGAUGCAGCUUCAGGAGUCGGGCCCCGGACUGGUGAAGCCCUCACAGACCCUCUCCCUCACCUGCACAGUCUCUUGUUACUCCAUCACCAUUAAUUACUACUGGAGAUAGAUCCACCAGCUCCCAGGGAGGGGGCUGGAGUGGAUUGGGUACAUAAGUUAUGGUGGAAGUACUUACUAGAGCCCGUCCCUCAAGAGUCGCACCUCCAUCUCCAGAGACAUGCCCAAGAACCAGUUCUCCCUGCAGCUGACUUCCAUGACCACUGAGGACACAGCUGUGUAUUACUGUGCAAGAGACACAUAGUAGUGGAUUGUCAUUUUGA
Molecule: long non-coding RNA, 405 nt
Organism: Phyllostomus discolor (pale spear-nosed bat)
Lineage: Eukaryota; Metazoa; Chordata; Mammalia; Chiroptera; Phyllostomidae
Exons: 4
Source: RefSeq, a predicted model, not a curated record